UACGAAGGACCCAAGCGUUAUCCGGAUUUAUUGGGUUUAAAGGGUGCGUAGGCGGGUUGUUAAGUCAGUGGUGAAAGCUCCGAGCCUAACCCGGAAACUGCCAUUGAUACUGACGAUCUUGAGUACAUUUGAGGUGGGCGGAAUGUGUCAUGUAGCGGUGAAAUGCUUAGAUAUGACACAGAACACCGAUUGCGAAGGCAGCUCACUAAACUGUAACUGACGCUGAGGCACGAAAGCGUGGGGAGCAAACAGG
This 253-nucleotide ribosomal RNA is filed under the name uncultured bacterium. RNAcentral's name for it is "partial 16S ribosomal RNA". It matches the Rfam family "Bacterial small subunit ribosomal RNA", at positions 524 to 776 of the family's 1533-position model. The record is from RNAcentral.